Long non-coding RNA from Labrus bergylta (ballan wrasse), 2422 nucleotides. RefSeq lists it as uncharacterized. The record is from RefSeq and is a predicted model, not a curated record. Lineage: Eukaryota; Metazoa; Chordata; Actinopteri; Labriformes; Labridae.
CACCUGUUUCUAUACAUCUGUUUUAACUCGCCUGUUUCUACAGGUCUGUUUGAACUUGUGUGUUUUAACUCGUCUGUUUUGACUUGUCUCUUUUGACUCGUCUGUUUUAACCCACCGGUUUUGACUGGCUUGUUUUAACUCGUCUAUUUUGACUGGCUUGUUUUAACCCGUCUAUUUUGACUCAUUUGAUUUGACUCAACUGUUUUGACUCGUCUGUUUAAACUCUGUUGUUUAAACUUGUCUGUUUUUGACUUAUCUGUUUUUACUCGUCUGUUGUGAUUCGUCUUUUUUGACUCACUUGUUUUAAAUCGUCUGUUUUGACUCGUCUGUUUGAACCUGUCUGUUUUUGACUCGUCUGUUUUGACUCGUUUGUUUUGACUUGUCUGUAUGAACCUGUAUGUUGUGACUCGUCUGUUUUAACGCCUCUGUUUUGACUCGUUUGUUUUAACUUGUCUUUUUUAACUCGCCUGUUUUGACUUGUUUGUUUUAACUCGUCUGUUGUGACUUGUCUGUUUUAACUAGUCUGUUUUGACUCGUCUGUUUUAACUUGUAUGUGGAGCCUUGCCUGUUUCCUGCAGCUCUGAGGUUUUUGUUCGAGGGUUUUUCACCGUGUAUACAGUGGGGUACCACUCUGACUGAAAGUGCACACAGAGCUGAACAAAAACCUCCAGUCUACUCUAAUCUUUCUGUUUACUCUCAGAAACAUCCAGAACAAACAAAUGAACAACAAAUAAACAACAGGUAAACAACCAGACACAGUAAGGUAUUCAGCCUGGUGUGUGUGUUUCUGUCUCUUACAGCUCGGUGUGUGUCCAUGAAAAGUGGAUUUUUUAACUUUUGGAGCCUCUGUGAGGAUGAUCAGCAGCUCUGAGGUUUUUGUACGAGUCUGUAACACUGUGAUGCUUUGCUGUUUGGAAAAGGAAUACGUCUCAAAGUCCAACCUACAGUUCCGCCCCCUGUGGAGUGGUUCGUCCCUGGCCCUCUGCAGCCUGAUGGGGUUCCCCUGGACCAGAUGGUGGCAGAGGUGUGCCAGAAGAGGACGCAUCCGACUGCCGUGACCACGACCACCCCGCGAACCUACGCCGUUGAAACCACCGUCUCCUAUAAACUGAACGACGCCUCCACCAACAACACCAAAGCCGACACCUGUGACGACCUUCAACCAGAGAAAGCCAAACUGAACUUCCUCCUGCUGCUGAUGAACGGAGUCAGAGUGGUGUUCACGAAAACGGUGGCCUUCAGCACCCUCCUCACCAUCAGAGCUGUCUUCGCCUAACAACCGAGCGACUCUUUGUCAAAGUGUUAGUAAAUUCAGGAUGAGAUCAAGUUGAUGAUGGAUCAUGUGAGGCCUGCAGAACGGUCACUGCGCUCACUGUCACAUUUAGAUUAAUAUGAAAACAUCAUCAUUCUUCAGUUCAUGUUUCAGAAUCAGCAGCACAUGAAAAUGCUCUGAAAUCACACGAAUGCAACACAUUUUCACCAAAAACAAUUAUUUUAGUUUUUUAAAAGCAACAAUCUGUAACUUCUCAUGCUUCAAACAGUCAUUUUAAAGUCUGUCUAAUAGAACAAUAACCUCCAACAGGGAGAAUGCUGUCUCUCGUGUCCACAGAGCUCGCCUGUUUUCAGCACUAUGUAACUUUGGCCGUGGGCCGAGGUCAUCUGGUGAGAUGUGUGUACGUCACUAGUUCACCAGCCUUCAGCUACAGAACACCAGUUAGCCCAUAUCUUCUCUGUUUGAUACAAAGGCUGAGGCUAACUGCCAAUGUCCAUCAGCGACGCACACUUCUGUUGGGCCACAGUUACUCCAAUGGAAAUACGCGGACCGAUGAACAUUGUUAAUGUUAUUUCUACAUUUUUUUUGGCAGAGAGAACUCAAAUGAUUCCUCGUCAGCCUCGACAUCAUCUUUUCUUAUUGUAUUGAUUGAGAGCCCCCUGGUGGCGGAAUCUACAUACUGUGCCUUUAAUAUUUUCAACGAUAUUUAGGCAAUAGGCUGGUUUCAUGAAAAACCUACUUGUAGUGAUGUUUAUAUUUCAGGUUCAGGUUGUUCUGCAGCCACCAAGAUGAUUCAUUAUUACACAAAUACAAAACACAUCAGGGAAAAAUAAAACAAUAUAAAAGUGCUCGAUUGUUUCCACCAAUAAGGACAUAUAAGAGAAAGAAAAAUCAAUACAUGUAAUAAAUGAAAAAUAAUAAAGUUGUUUGUAUUAAUCUCGUCUUUGGCAUUGAAAAUGUAGGGUUCCUCAGGGUUUAAUUCUGGGGCCCAUUUUUUUAUGUUUAAUUCAUUCAGUCAAGCAUAGAGUUAGAUGUUACACAGACGAUACUCAGACUUAUAUCUCAGUCAUCUCAAUGACAUGUUCUAAUUAUUUAACCUGUCUGUUCUCAAAACAACCUUUCACUCAUUAAUAAAUACUUUGACUUGAA